CUAGUACUACCUCCGUCCCAAAAUAUUUGUCAUUAAAAUGGAUAAAAAAGGAAUGUAUCUAAAACUAAGAUACAUCCUCUUUUAUUUAUUUUGAUGACAAGUAUUUCCGGACGGAGGGAGCAGUAG
This is a non-coding RNA of Triticum aestivum (bread wheat), 126 nucleotides long. NCBI's taxonomy places the organism in Eukaryota, Viridiplantae, Streptophyta, Magnoliopsida, Poales, Poaceae. The record is from Rfam.